GACGAACGCUGGCGGCGUGCUUAACACAUGCAAGUCGAACGGGAUUUAGUAGACAGAAGCCUCGGCUAAAGUUUACUAAUGAGAGUGGCGAACGGGUGAGUAACGCGUGAGCAACCUGCCUAUGACAGUGGGAUAGCCUCGGGAAACCGGGAUUAAUACCGCAUAAAAUCGUAGAAACACAUGUUUCAACGGUCAAAGAUUUAUCGGUCAUAGAUGGGCUCGCGUCUGAUUAGCUAGUUGGUGAGAUAACAGCCCACCAAGGCGACGAUCAGUAGCCGGUCUGAGAGGAUGAACGGCCACAUUGGAACUGAGACACGGUCCAAACUCCUACGGGAGGCAGCAGUGGGGAAUAUUGCACAAUGGGGGAAACCAUGAUGCAGCGACGCCGCGUGAACGAAGAAGGUAUUCGUAUCGUAAAGUUCUGUCCUAUGGGAAGAUAAUGACAGUACCAUAGAAGAAAGCGCCGGCUAAAUACGUG
RNAcentral lists this ribosomal RNA (478 nucleotides) under uncultured bacterium. RNAcentral describes it as "partial 16S ribosomal RNA". It matches the Rfam family "Bacterial small subunit ribosomal RNA", at positions 28 to 507 of the family's 1533-position model. The record is from RNAcentral.